Molecule: non-coding RNA, 862 nt
Organism: Anas platyrhynchos (mallard)
Lineage: Eukaryota; Metazoa; Chordata; Aves; Anseriformes; Anatidae
Source: RefSeq, a predicted model, not a curated record
UCAAGAAGUAUGUAUUAUCUCACUACACCUCUGUCAUAAUAUGUCAGCAUAUCUAGAUGUCUGUUUUCUAUGAAAUUUGUAAUCAGAGAUGGAUAUCAUCACUUUCAAUACUCUGCUAAUUGACCAAACUCUGCAUGGAAAAACUGCAGUUGGACAAACAUAGAUAUACCCAGGAUCUAGCUUUAAUGUUAGGUAAAUGAUUUGAUCUUUAGAAUGGUGUCCCAGGGAUGUACAUGUUGCUUUUAGCUACAGGCAACAACAGAAGGCAUAAGUGUUGCUUAGUUCCGUCUCCCCCCAGCGUAUCCUCUGUGUCUUGCUGUAAGAACAGGUGAACUUGAUGUUUGUGGACGGUACCAGCUGAAAUGCUGGGUUCACCUCCCUGUGGAGAAAACUGCUUGCUGAAUCUCCAGUGCAUUGCAAACAAAAUUAAACUUCUUGUAAAAGAAGAGAUAAGGCUGCUUACCCCAAACUGGAGCUUGCGAAACUGAUAAUUAAAAGAAGCCAGCUCAGUAGAAUUUCAGACAUGGCAAUGGAAUCUGCUCUAAUCAGUUCAGUCCCUACCACUGCAUCUCGUUUUGCCUUACUACAACUGGAAAGUGAUACUGAUUCAGAGCCUGGAAAAGGCAGAAGUGGCCGACGUGCUGGUAAAUCUCUAGCUUCAGAGUGUAGAUCUACAAAUGUGAAGAAAAGAGAGAAAAGAAGAAAAAAGGAGAGAACAGCAGCAGAGUGAGGCCAAUGAUGUAAAGGGAUUGUAUUUUCAACAGUGAGUAAGGUUGUUGUCUCAUCAAGAGUUUUUGCUGUCCCUGAAAAGUCAUUGGUUUUGGUUUUCCCUGUGAAAGAAGAACUACUUAAUCGCAGAUUA